This 333-nucleotide ribosomal RNA is filed under the name uncultured bacterium. RNAcentral's name for it is "bacterial SSU rRNA". It matches the Rfam family "Bacterial small subunit ribosomal RNA", at positions 173 to 507 of the family's 1533-position model. The record is from RNAcentral.
AAUGCAGCGGAUCCGCAUGGAUAUGUUGUUAAAGGUUUACCGCCUUGGGAUAGGCUUGCGUCUGAUUAGCUAGUUGGUGUGGUAAUGGCACACCAAGGCUACGAUCAGUAACUGGUCUGAGAGGAUGAUCAGUCACACUGGAACUGAGACACGGUCCAGACUCCUACGGGAGGCAGCAGUGAGGAAUAUAGGGCAAUGCACGAAAGUGUGACCCAGCAACGCCGCGUGGAGGAUGAAGGUAUUCUAUAUCGUAAACUCCUGUGAGAGCAGACGAAAGACAGAUUAUUAAUUUGGAUGACUGUAUGCUCAGAGGAAGCCCCGGCUAACUACGUG